GACAAACGCUGGCGGCGUGCUUAACACAUGCAAGUCGAACGGUUCUCCUUCGGGAGAAUAGUGGCGGACGGGUGAGUAACACGUAGACAACCUGCCUCGUAGUGGGGAAUAACAUCUCGAAAGAGAUGCUAAUACCGCAUAAGUUCUAUGUUGUUGAACAUAGAGGAAACGCCCUCACGGGUGGCUAUGAGAGGGGUCUGCGGCGGAUUAGCUAGUUGGAGAGGGUAACGGCCUCCCAAGGCGACGAUCCGUAGCUGGUCUAAGAGGACGAUCAGCCACACUGGGACUGAGACACGGCCCAGACUCCUACGGGAGGCAGCAGUGAGGAAUAUUCCACAAUGGGCGAAAGCCUGAUGGAGCGACGCCGCGUGAAGGAAGAAGGCC
This 384-nucleotide ribosomal RNA is filed under the name uncultured bacterium. Its description in RNAcentral is "bacterial SSU rRNA". It matches the Rfam family "Bacterial small subunit ribosomal RNA", at positions 28 to 416 of the family's 1533-position model. The record is from RNAcentral.